AUUGAACUCAGAGCCUUGCACUUGCAAGGCAGGUGCAGAGCCACUGAGCUAAAUCCCUGGCCUUACAUGUUCAUUUUAGAACAAUCUCAUUGCCAUAGCAUAGAGUAAGGAUGUCAGCAGGGUGAGGCUGGAAGUAGCUGAGAGAUCAGAGCAAUUGUUCAGGUGAGAGAUGAUGAGAAAUGAACUCUUAUUGUGGCAAAAGGAAUGGAGAGAAAAAUCAAAAUCAUCUUGCACAAAUGUGGUGAAGUGAUUUCAGGAGGGAUGGUGGUGUAGAAUGAAAUAGAUAUCAGGUGGCAUGUUUCUAAGCCUUUGACAUCACUCUUCCCACAGCCUAUUCUGAGCAGUUGUGGCUUCACAAAGUGAAAUGGAAUUUUCUGGAGAAAAUAAAUUUUAAAAAGCUGAAUGCACUUAUUUUGGAGGUUACCCAGUCCUUUGGAGCAAGAGGCUUUUUCUACUACCAGUCUUAUAUUCUUUCUAGAAGAUUAAAAAAAAUAAUUAAAAGAGGACUUGAGUGCUUAGAUUCUCUUGAAGGGAAAAGUGUUGGUGUCCAUUGUAAAUAUAAGUACUGGGGAUCGAACUCAGGACCUUGCACUUGUGAGGAAGGUGCCGGAACCACUCAGCUAAAUCCUCGGCUACAUCCAUCAAUCUUAAUAAAUGAUGAAUGUGACAAUUAUAAAAGGAAUGGGGGAUAGAAUCUUGUGAAAACUUUUAUCCGAGAACUUGAGAUGCAGAUUAUACUCACAAGCAAUUUGAGGACAGGAACUGUAACUUUUAUGAUCUUGUGCCCAAAACAUGGUGAUGUCUGAAUCCAGAUAACUCACCAGCUGCUGCAGUUGGGUGUAUCCACUGUUCCAGUCCACUGGUACAUUUCUCCUUGGAGUCCUCUGGGGUCACCAGUAGUCAUCAUGCAUCUGUAAGUUAACCCCCCCAUUUCCACACCAUGAGUCCAAGCUCUGUGAGAGAGUGCUGCCUGCUACCUACCUCCUCUUCAUUGCAGUCUCUCUCUUUACUCUCUCUGUGCACGUCAAUUUUCACACCAGAUCCUUUCCGGGUCCUGGGGACCCACUUUCCUCCUUCUUCUCCUCCUUGCAUCAUUAUAUUCCAGUGUCUGUUCAUUAAAUCUUGGAGAGGCUAUUCAC
Molecule: long non-coding RNA, 1139 nt
Filed under: Heterocephalus glaber (naked mole-rat)
Lineage: Eukaryota; Metazoa; Chordata; Mammalia; Rodentia; Bathyergidae
Description: lncRNA (ENSHGLG00100035259.1)
Source: RNAcentral